UUCCUUUAGAAAUAUAUUAAAGGUAAUUUCUGCCCUAUGUAUAUAUAAAUGGCCGCAGUAUUAUGACUGUGCUAAGGUAGCAUAAUAAUUUGUCUUUUAAUUAAAGACUGGAAUGAAUGAAUAUUCAAAUAAUUACUUUUUUAUAAAACUUAAUAAAAACUAUACUUUUAGUGAAGAUACUAAAAUCUUACAGAAGGACAAGAAGACCCUAUAGAGCUUUAAAUUUAUUUUUAGUUGGGGCGACUUAAGAAUUUAAAUAACUUCUUAUAAAUUUAAGAAUUACAAUUCAAUUUAAUAACUUUAAAAUUAUGAACAAGCUACCUUAGGGUUAACAGGCUUAAAUUCUUUAAGAGUCCAUAUUGACAAGAUUUUUAGCACCUCGAUGUUGGCUUAGGAAAUCUAUUUAUUGCAAAAAAUAAAAAAGAAGGUUUGUUCACCCUUUAAAAUUCUACGUGAUCUGAGUUC
This 465-nucleotide ribosomal RNA is filed under the name Dinophilus gardineri. RNAcentral's name for it is "partial large subunit ribosomal RNA". It matches the Rfam family "Bacterial large subunit ribosomal RNA", at positions 1829 to 2612 of the family's 2925-position model. The record is from RNAcentral. Lineage: Eukaryota; Metazoa; Annelida; Polychaeta; Dinophilidae.